This 351-nucleotide unclassified non-coding RNA is filed under the name soil metagenome. RNAcentral describes it as "partial contains 5.8S ribosomal RNA, internal transcribed spacer 2, and large subunit ribosomal RNA". The stretch from base 1 to 120 matches the Rfam family "5.8S ribosomal RNA", at positions 35 to 154 of the family's 154-position model. The record is from RNAcentral.
GAUGAAGAACGUAGCGAAACGCGAUAUGUAAUGUGAAUUGCAGAAUUCAGUGAAUCAUCGAAUCUUUGAACGCACAUGGCGCCUUCCAGUAUCCUGGGAGGCAUGCCUGUCCGAGCGUCGUUUCAACCCUCGAGCCCCCGUGGCCCGGCGUUGGGGAUCUGCCACGGCAGGCCCCUAAAACCAGUGGCGGACCCGAAGGCCCUCUCCUUUGCGCAGUAGCAUCAGCCUCGCAUUUGGAUCCCUCGGCGUCCUGCCUCUAAACCCCCCACAAGUCCGCUCCGGCGGCACCAAGGUUGACCUCGGAUCAGGUAGGAAUACCCGCUGAACUUAAGCAUAUCAAUAAGCGGAGGA